GUCCAGGCCCAUAGCAGCCUGAAAGUGCUGGAUCUGGUGGGAACUAGGAAGCUAAGCAGGGUUGGGCCCAGUUACUACUUGGAUGGGAGACCACCUGGGAAUAUUGUAUGGCCCUCACC
RNAcentral lists this ribosomal RNA (119 nucleotides) under Carlito syrichta (Philippine tarsier). Lineage: Eukaryota; Metazoa; Chordata; Mammalia; Primates; Tarsiidae. The record is from RNAcentral.